Molecule: long non-coding RNA, 173 nt
Organism: Amphimedon queenslandica
Lineage: Eukaryota; Metazoa; Porifera; Demospongiae; Haplosclerida; Niphatidae
Exons: 2
Source: RefSeq, a predicted model, not a curated record
CCAAGUAUGACCACAUUCAUUGUCUUGUCAGUGUCAAAAUCAAGUACUCCUAUGUUGCCUACUACUGAUGGAAGUUCAAUGACUAUUAUUUUCAUAGCAGCUGGAGCUAUUGUACCAUUACUAUUGAUAGUCAUAAUAAUUGUAAUCACCAUUGUAGUUGUGCUGAUUUCAAA